This 240-nucleotide unclassified non-coding RNA is filed under the name soil metagenome. RNAcentral's name for it is "partial contains 5.8S ribosomal RNA, internal transcribed spacer 2, and large subunit ribosomal RNA". The record is from RNAcentral.
AACCAUAGAAACCUGCGGAGUACCUGCGGAGGGAUCAUUAAAAAGAGUGUGUACCCCCCUGUAAAAUGGGUGGGUUACCUCCCGUCCUUUGUUGACCUCUUAGGAGGUUAUUUUGAACUUUUCUGCUUCGGUGGGGUUAAACCUACCGGAACACCCUCAAAUUCUGAUCAUUUAAAAAUUGUUCAGUCCGAUUUUUGUUAAUAAAAACAAAAAACUUUUAGCAAUGGAUCUCAGAUCGGA